RNAcentral lists this ribosomal RNA (478 nucleotides) under Setia turriculata. Its description in RNAcentral is "partial 16S ribosomal RNA". It matches the Rfam family "Bacterial large subunit ribosomal RNA", at positions 1819 to 2597 of the family's 2925-position model. Lineage: Eukaryota; Metazoa; Mollusca; Gastropoda; Littorinimorpha; Rissoidae. The record is from RNAcentral.
GUCUCUUUGAUGAUUUUAUAUAAAGAGUCAAACCUGCCCAGUGAUUUAUAUUUAACGGCCGCAGUACCCUGACUGUGCAAAGGUAGCAUAAUCAUUUGCCCUAUAAUUGAGGGCUUGUAUGAAUGGUUUAACAAGAACAUUUCUGUCUCUUAAAAAUUCUAUAUAACUUAAUUUAUAAGUGAAGAAGCUUAUAUAAUACUAAAAGACGAGAAGACCCUUUUGAGCUUAAAAAAUGAAUUAAGUAUUAUAAAAAUUUUUUUGGUUGGGGCGACCUAGGAACAUAUAAGCUUCCUUUUUUGAUAAAACUUUAGUUAUGAUCCAGCAUUGCUGAUUAACAAAUAAGCUACCAUAGGGAUAACAGCGUAAUUUCUUUUAAGAGUUCAUAUUAAAAAAGAAGUUUGCGACCUCGAUGUUGGACUAAAAUUUCCUUAAAGUGCAGAAAUUUUUAAAGGUUAGUCUGUUCGACUAUUAAAAUUUU